GUGAGCCUGGCUAGAGGUGUCCAGUGUGAUGUGCAGCUGGUGGAGUCUGGGGGAGGCGUGGUGCAGCCUGGGGGGUCUCUGAGACUCUCCUGUGCAGCCUCUGGAUUCACCUUCAGUAGCUAUGGCAUGAACUGGGUCCGCCAGGCUCCAGGGAAGGGGCUGGAGUGGGUCUCACGCAUUAGUAGUAGUAGUGGUAGUAGCACAUACUACGCCGACUCUGUGAAGGGCCGCUUCACCAUCUCCAGAGACAACGCCAAGAACACGCUGUACCUGCAAAUGAGCAGCCUGAGAGCCGAGGACACGGCCGUGUAUUACUGUGCAAGAGACACAGUGAGGGGAAGGAGCCUGGGGCAAUGUGACUACUUUGACUACUGGGGCCAGGGCACCAUGGUCACCGUCUCCUCAGCCUCCACCACGGCCCCGUCGGUCUUCCCGCUGUCCCCCAAAUGUGGCGCCACGUCGGGCUCCACGAUGUCCCUGGGCUGCCUGGUCUCUGGCUACUUCCCGGAGCCCGUGACUGUGUCCUGGAACUCGGGCGCCCUGACCAGCGGGGUGCACACCUUCCCGUCCGUCCUGCGUGCCGGCCUCUACUCCAUGAGCAGCAUGGUGACGGUGCCCACCACCUCGACCAGCCAGACCUUCACCUGCAACGUAGCCCACCCGGCCAGCGAAACCAAGGUGGACAAGAUCGUGCCCGUAACAGGUGGACCCACCCCACCCCCCUGCAAGUGCCCAGCUUGUGAGACCCUGGGAGGGCCCUCGGUCUUCAUCUUCCCCCCGAAACCCAAGGACACCCUCAUGAUUUCCCGGACGCCCGAGGUCACGUGCCUGGUGGUGGACGUGGCCCCGGAAGACCUGGACGUCGAGUUCACCUGGUUCACGGACGGCGUGCAGGGAAGAACGGAGAAGGUGACGGCGCAGCAGCAGCAGUUCAACAGCACCUACCGCGUGGUCAACUCCCUCGCCAUCGCGCACCAGGACUGGCUGAAUGGCAAGGAGUUCAAGUGCAAGGUCAACAACAAGGCCAUCCCGGCCCCCAUCGAGAGGACCAUCUCCAAGGCCAGAGGGCAAGCCCGGGAGCCGCAGGUGUACGUCCUGGGCCCACACGCGGACGAGAUGGCCAAGGACAAGGUCAGUGUGACCUGCCUGAUCAAGGACUUCUUCCCGCCGGACAUCAGCGUGGAGUGGCAGAGCAGCGGGCGGCCGGAGCCCGAGACCAAGUACUCCUCGACCCCGCCCCAGAAGGACCAGGAGGGCGCCUUCUUCCUGUACAGCAAGCUCUCCGUGGACAAGGCCCGGUGGCAGCGGGGGGACCCCUUCACGUGCGAGGUGAUGCACGAGGCCCUGCACAACCACUACACCCAGAAGACCGUCUCCCGGAGCCCGGAGCUGCUCCUGGACGAGAGCUGUGCCGAGGCCCAGGACGGGGAGCUGGACGGGCUGUGGACCACCAUCUCCAUCUUCAUCACCCUCUUCCUGCUCAGCGUGUGCUACAGCGCCACCGUCACGCUCUUCAAGGUGAAGUGGAUCUUCUCCUCGGUGGCCGACCUGAAGAGGACCAUCGUCCCCGACUACAGGAACAUGAUCGGACAAGGGGCUUAG
This is a non-coding RNA of Eptesicus fuscus (big brown bat), 1602 nucleotides long. The record is from the annotation of a RefSeq genome assembly. Lineage: Eukaryota; Metazoa; Chordata; Mammalia; Chiroptera; Vespertilionidae.